GUGUCAGCAGCCGCGGUAACACGAACCGUACAAACGUUACUCGGAAUUACUGGGCUUAAAGGGUGCGUAGGCGGCUUGGUAAGUUGGGCGUGAAAGCCCUCGGCUCAACCGAGGAAUUGCGUUCAAAACUGCCGGGCUUGAGGGAGACAGAGGUGAGCGGAACUUAGGGUGGAGCGGUGAAAUGCGUUGAUAUCCUAAGGAACACCAGGGGCGAAAGCGGCUCACUGGGUCUCUUCUGACGCUGAGGCACGAAAGCUAGGGGAGCGAAGAGGAUUAGAUACCCCCGUAGUCC
RNAcentral lists this ribosomal RNA (292 nucleotides) under uncultured bacterium. Its description in RNAcentral is "partial 16S ribosomal RNA". It matches the Rfam family "Bacterial small subunit ribosomal RNA", at positions 505 to 796 of the family's 1533-position model. The record is from RNAcentral.